GUGAGCCGCCAGUAUGGCCGGGCUAUGGCGGCGAGCACUGGCUACGUGCGACUGUGGGGAGCGGCGCGGUGCUGGGCGCUGCGCCGGCCGAUGCUGGCCGCCGCCGGGGGGCGGGUCCCCACUGCAGCCGGAGCGUGGUUGCUCCGAGGCCAGCGGACCUGCGACGCCUCUCCUCCUUGGGCACUGUGGGGCCGAGGCCCGGCAAUUGGGGGCCAAUGGCGGGGGUUUUGGGAAGCGAGCAGCCGCGGCGGAGGCGCAUUCUCGGGGGGCGAGGACGCCUCCGAGGGCGGCGCGGAGGAAGGAGCCGGGGGCGCGGGGGGCAACGCGGGCGGCGGGGAAGGCCCGGUCAUAACGGCGCUCACGCCCAUGACGAUCCCCGAUGUGUUCCCGCACCUGCCGCUCAUCGCCAUCACCCGCAACCCGGUGUUCCCGCGCUUUAUCAAGAUCAUCGAGGUGUUCCCAAACCAUGUUGAUUAGUAUCCGGGAUCCAAUAAGCAUGUCCCCAGAGAAUAAUCUAGACAGCGUUAGAGCUGCUCUGCUAUCAAAAAAUGUCAGCUACAAAAGCUACCCUGGGAGGCCGGGCGUGGUAG
RNAcentral lists this small RNA (590 nucleotides) under Pongo abelii (Sumatran orangutan). Its description in RNAcentral is "processed transcript". The record is from RNAcentral. Lineage: Eukaryota; Metazoa; Chordata; Mammalia; Primates; Hominidae.